RNAcentral lists this ribosomal RNA (443 nucleotides) under uncultured bacterium. RNAcentral's name for it is "partial 16S ribosomal RNA". It matches the Rfam family "Bacterial small subunit ribosomal RNA", at positions 338 to 795 of the family's 1533-position model. The record is from RNAcentral.
CCUACGGGGUGCAGCAGUGGGGAAUAUUGGUCAAUGGAGGCAACUCUGACCCAGCAACGCCGCGUGCAUGAUGAAGGUCUUCUGAUUUUAAAGUUCUGUUAUUAGGGAUGAACACAAUGACGGUACCCCAAUAGCAAACCUCGUCUAACUACGUGCCAGCAGCCGCGGUAAUACGGAGGUCGCAAGCGUUAUCCGGAAUGACUGGGCGUAAGGGGUUCGUAGGUGGUUUGGUAAGUUUGAGGUGAAAUUCCGGGGCUCAACCUGGGAGCUACCGCCAAUACUAUUGGACUAGAGUGUAGGAGGGGUAAGUGGAAUGUAUAGUGUAGCGGUGGAAUGCGUAGAGAUCAGGAGGAACAUCAGGGGCGAAGGCGGCUUACUGGACUAUAACUGACACUGAGGCACGAAAGCGUGGGGAGCAAACAGGAUUAGAUACCCUGGUAGUC